RNAcentral lists this non-coding RNA (21 nucleotides) under Caenorhabditis elegans. Lineage: Eukaryota; Metazoa; Nematoda; Chromadorea; Rhabditida; Rhabditidae. The record is from RNAcentral.
UGCACACCUUUAUCUCAUUUU